RNAcentral lists this microRNA precursor (98 nucleotides) under Mayetiola destructor (Hessian fly). RNAcentral's name for it is "microRNA mir-317". It matches the Rfam family "mir-317 microRNA precursor family". The record is from RNAcentral. Lineage: Eukaryota; Metazoa; Arthropoda; Insecta; Diptera; Cecidomyiidae.
UUGUCCAAUUUGCUGGGGUACUCCCUGUGGUCGCUUUAUUUUUAAAUGUAAUCAACAUAAGUGAACACAGCUGGUGGUAUCUCAGUGAAUUGAGCAUA